GUGUGUGUGUGAGAGAGUGUUUCUGUAGGUGUGUGUGUGCGCGUGUGUGUGUUUCUGUAGGUGUGUGCGUGUGAGUGUGUGUGUGCGCGUGUGUGUGUUUCUGUAGGUGUGUGUGUGUGUGUGUGUGUUUCUGUAGGUGUAGGUGUGUGUGUGUGUGUAUGCGCAUGUGUGUGUGUUUCUGUAGGUGUAGGUGUGUGUGUGUGUGUGUGUGUGUGUGUGUAUGUGUGUGUGUGUGUUUCUGUAGGUGUGUGUGUGUGUUUCUGUAGGUGUGUGUGUGCGUGCGCGUGAGUGUGUGUGCGCGCGCGUGUGUGUUUCUGUAGGUGUAGGUGUGUGUGUGUAUGCGCGCGUGUGUGUGUGUGUGUGUGU
Long non-coding RNA from Ictalurus punctatus (channel catfish), 366 nucleotides. Lineage: Eukaryota; Metazoa; Chordata; Actinopteri; Siluriformes; Ictaluridae. The record is from Ensembl.